CUGCUAUUGGGAUUCAACUAAGCCAUGCGAGUCGUGAGGGUUCGGCCCUCGGCAGACGGCUCAGUAACACGUAGAUAAUUUGCCCUUAGGUGGAGGAUACCCUCGGGAAACUGAGAAUAAUACUCCAUAGAUCUAGACUGCUGGAAUGCUUUUAGAUUGAAAGAUUUAUCGCCUAAGGAUAAGUCUGCGGACUAUCAGGUUGUAGUCAGGGUAACUACCUGACUAGCCUACGACGGAUACGGGUUGUGAGAGCACUAGCCCGGAGAUGAUAUCUGAGACACGAUAUCAGGCCCUACGGGGCGCAGCAGGCGCGAAAACUUCGCACUGUGCGAAAGCACGACGAGGGAAUCCCAAGUGCUGGCUCGUAAGAGUCAGCUGUUUCUCUGUCUAAAAAACAGAGAGAGUAAGGGCUGGGUAAGACGGGUGCCAGCCACCGCGGUAAUACCUGCAGCUCAAGUGGUGGCCGCUAUUAUUGGGCCUAAAACGUCCGUAGCCGGUUC
RNAcentral lists this ribosomal RNA (500 nucleotides) under uncultured archaeon. Its description in RNAcentral is "bacterial SSU rRNA". It matches the Rfam family "Archaeal small subunit ribosomal RNA", at positions 27 to 531 of the family's 1478-position model. The record is from RNAcentral.